GGUGAGAAUGAAGCCCCCAGGCUAGACAAGAAUGUAUGAAAGUAGUGGCUUGUCCAUGCUAUCGGGGUAUAAAAGAAAUGCACUGAAAAUAUCCCCAGGCAGGGGGAUGCUGGGUGGUGACAGCAGCGCCCUUGGCAUGGGGAGCAUCCCCUUGGAAUGUGGAGCACCACACUUCCUGAGAUCAGCAACGGCUGCACCAAAGCCUGUGGGACGCAGCUGAGCCUUUGAAAGGCAAAGCACAAUCUUAGGUGGAAAAAUAAGUGUUUUGGGAAAGGCAGAAGUAUUAAAGCGGCAAAAAAGCUGGAAGAGCUUGUUUCAAGACAGGCAGUUGAGAUACUGAGUUCCUCCUGUACCUAGUUCAUCUCCUGAAUUAGCAUGGGCUCAGGGUUUCCAGCUCCUUGACCCAGUUUUUCAAAGGUUAAUUUGACAUUAUUGAAACCAGAAUUGAUGCAGUUGUAAACAGUUGAAGGCUUCAGUCCGUAACGCCACCAAAGGCCAGUGUGCGCUUGACCUUUAUUUACCUUCUAGAUUGUGAUGCAUGUGUAACCCUUAGAAAUGCAACUCCUUAUAAGACCCAGCCAUCCCUUCCUGUUUAGAAUCAGUGCGGAUCAAAAGUUCUUCACACAAAAACCUUUCUGCCAACACCUUGAGCCCCCACAUGAAGUUUUCUUUUGCAGCCAUUUGCCCACCCCAGAUCUCGACAGAUCUGGACGGUCACGUCAGGAGGGUUUCCAGCAGAGGCAUUCAGCUGCUGGUGGAAGGAUUUUGUGUGCCUUGGGUGGAGGAGAGGAGCGCUCAUGGCCCAAGCACCAAGUUACCCGCAGGGUGCUUAAGGGGAAAUGAAAUGAAAUAUGACGUGAUCCAACCUAAACCAUUCAAUGAUUCUUUGGUGAUAAUGCAAUUGCUUUGGGAGAAGCUUAAGGCAGAAGUAAUGAGAACAAAGGGAAGUGUUUACUGCGCUCCAGUCCUUGGAGUUUGUGUGAUGUUAUCAGGCACCAGAUAGAAGUAGGAAGAAACUUGCCUGAAAGACAGGAAAGCGGAGCAGGGCUCUGCAGUACCUGAGAGCUGCAGCGUUGCCCACAUCCACAGCGUUCAGGGUUUGGCCUUCAGAAACACACUGAGAAAAACACCAACAAGCCAGUGGGAGCAAGAGGGAGAAGGUCCCUUGUGUGCUUUGCUGUGGGAAGAAUCAAUCGAGAUGGUGGCUCUCGACCUUGCCUGAUAGAAAUCCAGGACAACAGGCAAUUCAGUUCAGGGCCUUUUCCUGAGCCCUCAACGGGCUCUAGUUAAAAUAGCAGUUAUUAACCAAAGCCACGCAGAGCAGGCAACAAUCUAGUUCUUAAUGGCAUGAAUCAGACGUGAGGAGGUGUGAUGGAAACAGGCAGCCCAACAUGCAAAUCACAGCAGAGGUGUUUGAAAGGCACCGUUAGCCCUGAACCUGUUCUUCUGCUGAGAAGGGACCUGGGUGCUUCUGUGACAAGUGGCAAAAGGAAGUAUCUCCUGAACACUCUGUGUCAGCAGGGCUGUUUGUGCAGGAGGCACAUGCAUGGGGGUUUUCAAGCGGAGGGGUUUUGAGAUGUGAUGCUCUGGGUGUAAAUACAAACUCGGAAAGCAAAUCCAAAGAAUCAGUGUUGGCAGCCUCAGGGUUUUCCAGGAACUGGACUCAAGGGUUGUAAAUCCAUGGGCCUGGCAGCACCAGAACGAAUGCAAUCCCACGUGGCUGUCCCAGCCUUGUCCCUGCCUUUGCUCUGCUGUAGCAUCUCUGGAAGUCCCUGGCUGGUGCCUGCAGAGAGCACUGCAGCACAGCCAAUGAAACCAGCAUGGACUUUGGAGCAAAAUAAAUACACAAGGACUUUAGUGAGCAA
This is a long non-coding RNA of Pezoporus occidentalis (night parrot), 1865 nucleotides long. RefSeq lists it as uncharacterized. The record is from RefSeq and is a predicted model, not a curated record. NCBI's taxonomy places the organism in Eukaryota, Metazoa, Chordata, Aves, Psittaciformes, Psittacidae. The transcript is spliced from 2 exons.